CCUACGUGGGGCUGCAGUGAGGAAUAUUGGUCAAUGGGCGCGAGCCUGAACCAGCCAAGUAGCGUGAAGGAUGACUGCCCUACGGGUUGUAAACUUCUUUUAUAAAGGAAUAAAGUGAGGCACGUGUGCCUUUUUGUAUGUACUUUAUGAAUAAGGAUCGGCUAACUCCGUGCCAGCAGCCGCGGUAAUACGGAGGAUCCGAGCGUUAUCCGGAUUUAUUGGGUUUAAAGGGAGCGUAGAUGGGUUGUUAAGUAAGUUGUGAAAGUUUGCGGCUCAACCGUAAAAGUGCAAUUGAUACUGGCAGUCUUGAGUACAGUUGAGGUAGGCGGAAUUCGUGGUGUAGCGGUGAAAUGCUUAGAUAUCACGAAGAACUCCGAUUGCGAAGGCAGCUUACUAAACUGCCACUGACAUUGAUGCUCGAAAGUGUGGGUAUCAAACAGGAUUAGAUACCCCAGUAGUC
Molecule: ribosomal RNA, 460 nt
Filed under: uncultured bacterium
Lineage: Bacteria
Description: partial 16S ribosomal RNA
Rfam family: Bacterial small subunit ribosomal RNA
Source: RNAcentral